UCAAACUUGGUCAUUUAGAGGAAGUAAAAGUCGUAACAAGGUUUCCGUAGGUGAACCUGCGGAAGGAUCAUUAACGAGUUUUUGAAACGGGUUGUAGCUGGCUCUCCAAACGAGAGCAUGUGCACGCCUGACUCAAUCCACUCUUAAACCUCUGUGCACUUACUGUAGGCUUGGUGAUUGAAGGACUCGCGAGAGUCCUGAUAGAGCCUUGUCUAUGAUUUUACAAACGCUUCAGUCUAAGAAUGUAACUCGCGUUUAACGCAAUAAAUACAACUUUCAGCAACGGAUCUCUUGGCUCUCGCAUCGAUGAAGAACGCAGC
Molecule: unclassified non-coding RNA, 320 nt
Filed under: uncultured fungus
Lineage: Eukaryota; Fungi
Description: partial contains small subunit ribosomal RNA, internal transcribed spacer 1, and 5.8S ribosomal RNA
Rfam family: Eukaryotic small subunit ribosomal RNA (bases 1-73)
Source: RNAcentral